This 484-nucleotide ribosomal RNA is filed under the name uncultured bacterium. Its description in RNAcentral is "partial 16S ribosomal RNA". It matches the Rfam family "Bacterial small subunit ribosomal RNA", at positions 28 to 507 of the family's 1533-position model. The record is from RNAcentral.
AUUGAACGCUGGCGGCAUGCUUUACACAUGCAAGUCGAACGGCAGCGCGGGCUUCGGCCUGGCGGCGAGUGGCGAACGGGUGAGUAAUGCAUCGGAACGUGCCCAGUAGUGGGGGAUAGCCCGGCGAAAGCCGGAUUAAUACCGCAUACGAGCUGAGGGUGAAAGCGGGGGACCGAAAGGCCUCGCGCUAUUGGAGCGGCCGAUGUCGGAUUAGCUAGUUGGUGGGGUAAAGGCUUACCAAGGCGACGAUCCGUAGCUGGUCUGAGAGGACGACCAGCCACACUGGGACUGAGACACGGCCCAGACUCCUACGGGAGGCAGCAGUGGGGAAUUUUGGACAAUGGGGGCAACCCUGAUCCAGCCAUGCCGCGUGCGGGAAGAAGGCCUUCGGGUUGUAAACCGCUUUUGUUCGGGAAGAAAUCCUCUGGGCUAAUACCCCGGGGGGAUGACGGUACCGGAAGAAUAAGCACCGGCUAACUACGUG